This 301-nucleotide ribosomal RNA is filed under the name uncultured bacterium. RNAcentral describes it as "partial 16S ribosomal RNA". It matches the Rfam family "Bacterial small subunit ribosomal RNA", at positions 509 to 807 of the family's 1533-position model. The record is from RNAcentral.
CAGCAGCCACGGUAAUACGUAGGGUGCGAGCGUUAAUCGGAAUUACUGGGCGUAAAGCGCGCGCAGGCGGUUUUGUAAGACAGGCGUGAAAUCCCCGGGCCCAACCUGGGAAUGGCGCUUGUGACUGCAAAGCUAGAGUGCGGCAGAGGGGGAUGGAAUUCCGCGUGUAGCAGUGAAAUGCGUAGAUAUGCGGAGGAACACCGAUGGCGAAGGCAAUCCCCUGGGCCUGCACUGACGCUCAUGCACGAAAGCGUGGGGAGCAAACAGGAUUAGAUACCCCCGUAGUCCCUGUCUCUUAUAC